This 253-nucleotide ribosomal RNA is filed under the name uncultured bacterium. RNAcentral's name for it is "partial 16S ribosomal RNA". It matches the Rfam family "Bacterial small subunit ribosomal RNA", at positions 524 to 776 of the family's 1533-position model. The record is from RNAcentral.
UACGUAGGGAGCAAGCGUUGUCCGGAAUCAUUGGGCGUAAAGCGCGCGUAGGCGGCCCCGUAAGUCCGCUGUGAAAGUCAAAGGCUCAACCUUUGAAAGCCGGUGGAUACUGUGGGGCUAGAGUCCGGAAGAGGCGAGUGGAAUUCCUGGUGUAGCGGUGAAAUGCGUAGAUAUCGGAAGGAACACCAGUGGCGAAGGCGGCUUCCUGGACUAAUACUGACGCUGAGGUGCGAAAGCGUGGGGAGCAAACAGG